RNAcentral lists this ribosomal RNA (253 nucleotides) under uncultured bacterium. Its description in RNAcentral is "partial 16S ribosomal RNA". It matches the Rfam family "Bacterial small subunit ribosomal RNA", at positions 524 to 776 of the family's 1533-position model. The record is from RNAcentral.
UACGUAGGGAGCGAGCGUUGUCCGGAAUCAUUGGGCGUAAAGAGCGCGUAGGUGGAUCAAUUAGUCUGCUGUGAAAGUCAAAGGCUCAACCUUUGAAAGCCGGUGGAUACUGUUGAUCUAGAGUACGGAAGAGGCGAGUGGAAUUCCUGGUGUAGCGGUGGAAUGCGCAGAUAUCAGGAGGAACACCAAUAGCGAAGGCAGCUCGCUGGGACGUUAUUGACACUGAGGCGCGAAAGCGUGGGGAGCAAACAGG